GCGGAGGAAAAGAAACCAACAGGGAUUGCCCUAGUAACGGCGAGUGAAGCGGCAACAGCUCAAAUUUGAAAUCUGGCGUCUUCGGCGUCCGAGUUGUAAUUUGCAGAGGGCGCUUUGGCAUCGGCAGCGGUCCAAGUUCCUUGGAACAGGACGUCACAGAGGGUGAGAAUCCCGUACGUGGUCGCUAGCCUUUACCGUGUAAAGCCCCUUCGACGAGUCGAGUUGUUUGGGAAUGCAGCUCUAAAUGGGAGGUAAAUUUCUUCUAAAGCUAAAUACUGGCCAGAGACCGAUAGCGCACAAGUAGAGUGAUCGAAAGAUGAAAAGCACUUUGGAAAGAGAGUUAAAAAGCACGUGAAAUUGUUGAAAGGGAAGCGCUUGCAGCCAGACUUGCCUGUAGUUGCUCAUCCGGGUUUCUACCCGGUGCACUCUUCUAUAGGCAGGCCAGCAUCAGUUUGGGCGGUUGGAUAAAGGUCUCUGUCAUGUACCUCUCUUCGGGGAGAACUUAUAGGGGAGACGACAUGCAACCAGCCUGGACUGAGGUCCGCGCAUCUGCUAGGAUGCUGGCGUAAUGGCUGUAAGCGGCCCGUCUUGAAACACGGACCAAGGAGUCUAACAUCUAUGCGAGUGUUUGGGUGUCAAGCCCGAGCGCGUAAUGAAAGUGAACGGAGGUGGGAACCUUUCGGGGUGCACCAUCGACCGAUCCUGAUGUCUUCGGAUGGAUUUGAGUAAGAGCAUAGCUGUUGGGACCCGAAAGAUGGUGAACUAUGCUUGAAUAGGGUGAAGCCAGAGGAAACUCUGGUGGAGGCUCGCAGCGGUUCUGACGUGCAAAUCGAUCGUCAAAUUUGGGC
Molecule: unclassified non-coding RNA, 848 nt
Filed under: Nothophoma gossypiicola
Lineage: Eukaryota; Fungi; Ascomycota; Dothideomycetes; Pleosporales; Didymellaceae
Description: sequence contains 28S rRNA gene
Rfam family: Eukaryotic large subunit ribosomal RNA
Source: RNAcentral